This 1102-nucleotide ribosomal RNA is filed under the name Klebsiella pneumoniae. RNAcentral's name for it is "bacterial SSU rRNA". It matches the Rfam family "Bacterial small subunit ribosomal RNA", at positions 381 to 1468 of the family's 1533-position model. The record is from RNAcentral. Lineage: Bacteria; Pseudomonadati; Pseudomonadota; Gammaproteobacteria; Enterobacterales; Enterobacteriaceae.
GCUGAAUGCAGGCAUGACGGGUGUGUGCAGCACGGCCUUCGGUCGUAAGCACCUUUCAGCCGGGGAGGAAGGGCGGUGAAGGGUUAAUACCCUCUUCGAUUGACCGUUACCGCAGAAGAAAGCACCGGGCUAACUCCGUGUCAGCAGCCGCGGUAAUACGGAGGGGUGCAAGCGUUAAUCGGAAUUACUGGGCGUAAAGCGCACGCAGGCGGUCUGUCAAGUCGGAUGUGAAAUCCCCGGGCUCAACCUGGGAACUGCAUUCGAAACUGGCAGGCUAGAGUCUUGUAGAGGGGGGGUAGAAUUCCAGGUGUAGCGGUGAAAUGCGUAGAGAUCUGGAGGAAUACCGGUGGCGAAGGCGGCCCCCUGGACAAAGACUGACGCUCAGGUGCGAAAGCGUGGGGAGCAAACAGGAUUAGAUACCCUGGUAGUCCACGCCGUAAACGAUGUCGAUUUGGAGGUUGUGCCCUUGAGGCGUGGCUUCCGGAGCUAACGCGUUAAAUCGACCGCCUGGGGAGUACGGCCGCAAGGUUAAAACUCAAAUGAAUUGACGGGGGCCCGCACAAGCGGUGGAGCAUGUGGUUUAAUUCGAUGCAACGCGAAGAACCUUACCUGGUCUUGACAUCCACAGAACUUUCCAGAGAUGGAUUGGUGCCUUCGGGAACUGUGAGACAGGUGCUGCAUGGCUGUCGUCAGCUCGUGUUGUGAAAUGUUGGGUUAAGUCCCGCAACGAGCGCAACCCUUAUCCUUUGUUGCCAGCGGUUAGGCCGGGAACUCAAAGGAGACUGCCAGUGAUAAACUGGAGGAAGGUGGGGAUGACGUCAAGUCAUCAUGGCCCUUACGACCAGGGCUACACACGUGCUACAAUGGCAUAUACAAAGAGAAGCGACCUCGCGAGAGCAAGCGGACCUCAUAAAGUAUGUCGUAGUCCGGAUUGGAGUCUGCAACUCGACUCCAUGAAGUCGGAAUCGCUAGUAAUCGUAGAUCAGAAUGCUACGGUGAAUACGUUCCCGGGCCUUGUACACACCGCCCGUCACACCAUGGGAGUGGGUUGCAAAAGAAGUAGGUAGCUUAACCUUCGGGAGGGCGCUACCCGCUUUGUUCA